GGUAGUCCACGCGGUAAACGAUGGUCACUAGGUGUGGGGGGUAUCGACCCCCUCCGCGCCGCCGCUAACGCAUUAAGUGACCCGCCUGGGGAGUACGGCCGCAAGGCUAAAACUCAAAGGAAUUGACGGGGGCCCGCACAAGCAGCGGAGCGUGUGGUUUAAUUCGACGCAACGCGAAGAAUCUUACCAGGGCUUGACAUGGCCGGAAAAGCCAUCGAAAGGUGGUGUGCCCGCAAGGGCGUCGGUUACAGGUGCUGCACGGCUGUCGUCAGCUCGUGCCGUGAGGUGUUGGGUUAAG
RNAcentral lists this ribosomal RNA (298 nucleotides) under uncultured bacterium. RNAcentral describes it as "partial 16S ribosomal RNA". It matches the Rfam family "Bacterial small subunit ribosomal RNA", at positions 789 to 1084 of the family's 1533-position model. The record is from RNAcentral.